UACGAAGGGGGCUAGCGUUACUCGGAUUGACUGGGCGUAAAGGGCGCGUAGGCGGUUUGUACAGUCAGACGUGAAAUUCCUGGGCUCAACCUGGGGGCUGCGUUUGAUACGUGCAGACUUGAGUUCGGAAGAGGGUCGUGGAAUUCCCAGUGUAGAGGUGAAAUUCGUAGAUAUUCGGAAGAACACCAGUGGCGAAGGCGACUUACUGGACACAUAUUGACGCUGAGGUGCGAAAGCGUGGGGAGCAAACAGG
This 253-nucleotide ribosomal RNA is filed under the name uncultured bacterium. Its description in RNAcentral is "partial 16S ribosomal RNA". It matches the Rfam family "Bacterial small subunit ribosomal RNA", at positions 524 to 776 of the family's 1533-position model. The record is from RNAcentral.